GACGUAGGGCGCGAGCGUUGUCCGGAUUUAUUGGGCGUAAAGAGCUCGUAGGCGGCUUGUCGCGUCGUCCGUGAAAACUUGGGGCUCAACCCCAAGCUUGCGGUCGAUACGGGCAGGCUAGAGUUCGGUAGGGGAGACUGGAAUUCCUGGUGUAGCGGUGAAAUGCGCAGAUAUCAGGAGGAACACCGGUGGCGAAGGCGGGUCUCUGGGCAGUAACUGACGCUGAGGAGCGAAAGCAUGGGGAGCGAACAGG
RNAcentral lists this ribosomal RNA (253 nucleotides) under uncultured bacterium. Its description in RNAcentral is "partial 16S ribosomal RNA". It matches the Rfam family "Bacterial small subunit ribosomal RNA", at positions 524 to 776 of the family's 1533-position model. The record is from RNAcentral.